RNAcentral lists this ribosomal RNA (255 nucleotides) under uncultured bacterium. Its description in RNAcentral is "partial 16S ribosomal RNA". It matches the Rfam family "Bacterial small subunit ribosomal RNA", at positions 524 to 777 of the family's 1533-position model. The record is from RNAcentral.
UACGAAGGGGGCUAGCGUUGUUCGGAAUCACUGGGCGUAAAGGGCGCGUAGGUGGUGGCUUAAGCGUGCGGUGAAAGCUCGGAGCUCAACUCCGAGUCGGCCGUGCGAACUGGGCUCACUGGAGCAUAGUAGAGGCAGGUGGAAUUCCGGGUGUAGCGGUGGAAUGCGUAGAGAUCCGGAAGAACACCGGUGGCGAAGGCGGCCUGCUGGGCUAUGGCUGACACUGAGGCGCGACAGCGUGGGGAGCAAACAGGG